Molecule: ribosomal RNA, 445 nt
Filed under: uncultured bacterium
Lineage: Bacteria
Description: partial 16S ribosomal RNA
Rfam family: Bacterial small subunit ribosomal RNA
Source: RNAcentral
GUGAGGAAUAUUGGUCAAUGGACGAGAGUCUGAACCAGCCAAGUCGCGUGAAGGAAGACGGUUCUAUGAAUUGUAAACUUCUUUUGUGCAGGAAUAAAGUGGGUUACGUGUAACCUUUUGUAUGUACUGUACGAAUAAGGAUCGGCUAACUCCGUGCCAGCAGCCGCGGUAAUACGGAGGAUCCGAGCGUUAUCCGGCUUUAUCGGGUUUAAAGGGUGCGUAGGUGGAUUGAUAAGUCAGCGGUGAAAGUUUGCAGCUUAACUGUAAAAUUGCCGUUGAAACUGUCGGUCUUGAGUGCAAAUGAGGUAGGCGGAAUGUGUUGUGUAGCGGUGAAAUGCUUAGAUAUAACACAGAACUCCGAUUGCGAAGGCAGCUUACUGGGAUGCAACUGACACUGAUGCACGAAAGCGUGGGUAUCAAACAGGAUUAGAAACCCCUGUAGUCC